RNAcentral lists this unclassified non-coding RNA (138 nucleotides) under uncultured Capnodiales. RNAcentral's name for it is "sequence contains ITS2". Lineage: Eukaryota; Fungi; Ascomycota; Dothideomycetes; Capnodiales. The record is from RNAcentral.
CACCAAUCAAGCCUGGCUUGGUAUUGGGCCCCGGGGGUGACCCGGGCCUCAAAGUCUUCGGCUGGAAAGCUCUGAUCUCAGCGUCGUGGUUAAACAUUCGCGAAGAACAGAGUGAUCUGUGCCGUUAAACUCAUCAAA